Molecule: long non-coding RNA, 539 nt
Filed under: Homo sapiens (human)
Lineage: Eukaryota; Metazoa; Chordata; Mammalia; Primates; Hominidae
Description: non-protein coding lnc-C6orf52-3:1
Source: RNAcentral
GUGCUUCCCCUGUCCGCAGCGCCUGCAGGGCCGACCAGUAUCAGUCCCAGGUCCAAUCCUGAGUGGCCAAAAGCAGGAGACCCGGAGUUGGACCUGGGACUUGCACAAGCCGGACCACGUGAGCUCGGCCACGCCAGAGGUGAGGCCACCGCUGCGGGACCAGGGAAUCUGAGGCUGGAUUUUGAAGGACCCCAUUAAUAGAGGAACAAGUUACAGGGUAUAAACCAGAUGCAGGCCAUCAGGGAGGAGUGUCACUCAAGCCCGAUCUUGUCUACACCAGGAAGGGCCUGCCUGGAAGAAAAUACGGGGGCUGCAGAAUAAUGUGGCUCAAAGCCAAAUAUCCGUUUGUUUUAGGGAGUGAGGCUGCUUGAGAAGCAUCUUAAAGGGGGAUGGGGAGUAAGUUAAACCUGAUUUUUACCCAGCUCUGUGGACCCAAAAUAUCCACAGCAUAUUAUCUCCAUUCCCACUUGGAGUCACUCCUAUUCCGUUUCCUGCACCACCAUUCUCUUAGUUGCUCUACACUAAAAUUUGCUGUCAUC